RNAcentral lists this ribosomal RNA (740 nucleotides) under uncultured bacterium. RNAcentral's name for it is "bacterial SSU rRNA". It matches the Rfam family "Bacterial small subunit ribosomal RNA", at positions 8 to 796 of the family's 1533-position model. The record is from RNAcentral.
AGAGUUUGAUCCUGGCUCAGAACGAACGCUGGCGGCAGGCUUAACACAUGCAAGUCGAACGCUCCGCAAGGAGAGUGGCAGACGGGUGAGUAACGCGUGGGAACAUACCCCUCGGUUCAGAAUAACUCAGGGAAACUUGAGCUAAUACCGAAUACGGUCGAGAGGCGAAAGAUUUAUCGCCGAGGGAUUGGCCCGCGUCCGAUUAGCUAGUUGGUGAGGUAAUGGCUCACCAAGGCGACGAUCGGUAGCUGGUCUGAGAGGAUGAUCAGCCACAUUGGGACUGAGACACGGCCCAAACUCCUACGGGAGGCAGCAGUGGGGAAUAUUGGACAAUGGGCGAAAGCCUGAUCCAGCCAUGCCGCGUGAGUGAUGACGGCCUUAGGGUUGUAAAGCUCUUUCAUCAGGGACGAUAAUGACGGUACCUGAAGAAGAAGCCCCGGCUAACUUCGUGCCAGCAGCCGCGGUAAUACGAAGGGGGCUAGCGUUGUUCGGAAUUACUGGGCGUAAAGCGCAUGUAGGCGGGUCUUUAAGUCAGGGGUGAAAUGCCAAGGCUCAACCUUGGAACUGCCUUUGAUACUGGAGAUCUUGAGUCCGGGAGAGGUGAGUGGAACUGCGAGUGUAGAGGUGAAAUUCGUAGAUAUUCGCAAGAACACCAGUGGCGAAGGCGGCUCACUGGCCCGGUACUGACGCUGAGAUGCGAAAGCGUGGGGAGCAAACAGGAUUAGAUACCCUAGUAGUCC